This is a long non-coding RNA of Dreissena polymorpha, 675 nucleotides long. RefSeq lists it as uncharacterized. The transcript has 2 exons. The record is from RefSeq and is a predicted model, not a curated record. NCBI's taxonomy places the organism in Eukaryota, Metazoa, Mollusca, Bivalvia, Myida, Dreissenidae.
AAGUCGUCAUUGAUAAGCCUGUGCGGACUGCAGAGGCUAAUCUGGGACGAUUUUUUACGCCCAUGCAUUAACGCGCUAUUGAAUUGUACAUCUUAAAUGAUAGUUGUGAAGUAAACAAUGUUCGUCGGGCUAGAUAGAUUGCACAAUGUCAUAUUUUUGUUAUCUUAUCAUAUAAAGAAACAGCCAGAUAAUUAAUAGUUUUUUUAUCUUCAUAAUGUCUACACAAACUUAAAAACACAAAAUUGCUUAUUAAUAAUUUCAGAUUUUCUUUUCAUAAAUCAAACAAAUAUUUAUAUUUGUUUGCACUCAAAGAUCUAUAAACAUUUGUUUAUUUAUAGAUCUUUGUUUCAACUGACAAAACAGCUCUGUCUAUUGUGAACUGAAGGAAGUGAAUACUAAUAAAUAUGCAAAGAUAAAAAUGAACUUGAGUCGUCCAUAAACACCCCCUGAACGUCGAUAAUCCAAACUUAGUUGGAUAAUUCAAACUGAGAAAAAAAAUGUCGGCUGAAACUAAAAGUUGAACUCCUUUGGCGGAAAUGGAGAUCGAUCGGCAUGACGAAGACGCAUUUCAAGACAAGAAAUGAGAAAAGAAGAAAAAAAAAGAAAAUUUUUUUACAUGAAAAUAAAACACAAUCACUUUUUAAUGAUGAUUGAUUAGCAAUGUGUUAAAAAGCU